UACGGCGACCAUUUUCCCGCAAUGCUCGCAAGCUCCUAUAGCUUCCCUUCUUCCCCCGUACCUCUCACCAGCGGUGUCUUCGGUAUGUGAAAACCCAAUUCUUCAACCCUACAGGAUCCAACAGGCAAUCACAGCUGGCAUCUUACCUUUAUCACCCUUGUUCCUCCAACAAUCAUCAGCCCUAUUACAUCAGUUACCUUUGGUGCAUUUAUUGGCACAAAACAUCAGGGCACAACAACUACAACAACUUGUGCUAGCAAACCUUGCUGCCUACUCUCAGCAACAGCAGUUUCUUCCAUUCAACCAACUAGCUGCAUUGAACUCUGCUUCUUAUUUGCAACAACAACAACUACCAUUCAGCCAGCUACCUGCUGCCUACCCCCAGCAAUUUCUUCCAUUCAACCAACUGGCAGCAUUGAACUCUCCUGCUUAUUUACAGCAGCAACAACUACUACCAUUCAGCCAGCUAGCUGGUGUGAGCCCUGCUACCUUCUUGAUACAACCACAGUUGUUGCCGUUCUACCAGCACGCUGCGCCUAACGCUGGCACCCUCUUACAACUGCAACAAUUGCUGCCAUUCAACCAACUUGCUUUGACAAACCCAGCAGCGUUCUACCAACAACCCAUCAUUGGUGGUGCCCUCUUUUAGAUUUCUUAUGAGUUAUAGUUCAAUAAUAAAGUUUUUUGUCUGAUGUUUGUGGCUUCCCAGAAAUAAGAAAGUACAUUUCUAGAUUCUUAUGUGCUUCUAGUCUCCAAAUGUGGUUGAUAGUUAUUUUGCUCUAAGAUCGACAGUAAUGAAGUAUAAAUCAUCGUUGUGGUGUGCUACUCGGUUAAUUGAGCAUUAACACACACAAACAUGACGAGGAUGGUAUAAUCUCCAAAAAUAUGUACUUUGUUAGGUGGGACCCUAUAGCCUUGCAUAAUGUGCUAUGUUAGGCAUGCCUGGAAACGUGUGACGCAUAUGUUUUGUGAACCUGUUGAUAUUAUAUGUGCUUUUAUAUUACCAUAUUUUAUUAAAAUACUAAUAUUUAUUACUAGUAAGAUAUAACAUUCUAUCUAGCUUAAAAACUAACCAUAAAUAUUCCAUAAUAACUAGAUUUACCAAACUAAUAUACUAAAUAUACAUAAUAAAUACAAAAUUAACAAGACAAUAAUCAAUAUUUAUGAGCUUAAUAUAUUUAGACAUUAUGGUUGGUCGACCAUAAUCAUGCUAACUUUUCGUACUUGCUUGAUUGUAAAUAUGCUUAGAAUAAUGCCUCUUUGUUCUACAUGGCAAAUAGGGACCAUUAUGGUGUAACACCCUGGGAACCACAAACACCCCGAAAUGCUACUAAACUACACAACUAACCUUCAUAUAUAAAAUUUCGACAGCAUCUCCUUUGAAAAUUUGCAUAAACGUGGAAGCAACAGAGUAUAAACAGAUAUCAUGAUAAGGAAACAUACUAGACAUUAAUAAUCUGCUAGAAAUGGGAAGAUAACCAUAACGACAUAAACUGAAUUAACUAGUGUGCACAACUUGUUUAAAACAAACAUCAUUGACAAGAAGUUUCUAAUUAAAUCAUGGCUGUGCCUGGGUAGCGUUAUUAUGAGAGUGAAGGUGGACGUGAUGCUACUUCCCUCAUUCCCAACAUGAAUCAAGUACCUGCAUUGAGUAAUGCAAGAGUGAGAUGAAAACAUCUCAGCAAGUAAAUUGUUUUGACGAGAUAUUUAAAGCAAAAAAAUUUGAUUUACUCAACAUUUUAAAGGGAUCACAAUUGAGAUCAGAAAUACUUGUAGAUAUAGAACUCAAUAGUCCCAAAAUAACCAGUGCCAUCUCAUUUCCUCAAACAACCACAAUAGGUUGUAUAACACUUCCCUGCGUCAUCAAUACCUGCAAAUAUCACUUCAAUGUAUGCAUAGGAAUGCAAUGUUUAAGUCCUCUGCAUUCAUACUUCUUAGAGUAUAAAACCACACCAUCUGCAAAUAUCACUUCAAUGAAUGCAUAUGAAUGCAAUGCAUAUGUCCUCUGCCUUCAUACCUCUAAGGGUAUGAAGCCGAAUCGUACCCCUCCUCGGGCAACGUACGAUGCUAAGUUGUACCGUUACGGUCGGACCAUAGGUCACGACAAAACUUCAUAUGCAAGUGAAUCAUGACAUGUAUAUGGCUUGCUGCAUUUAUCAAUAUACUUCACUUCCUUCAUAUACAAUACAAACCUCAAAUAAUACUUCGUUUACCUUCAGAUACAAUACAAACCUCAAAUAAUACUUCAUUCACCUUCAGGGGUGUUUAUUAAUCUCGUGGGUCAUACUCGAAUCAUCAUCAUCAUCAAUGAUGAUUAAGCAUCAGUAUAAUACAAUCAAGUAAAGCAUCACCAUAGAGUUCAAUUAUGAAAGAAUUCGAUGAUUCUGAAUAUUAGAGUGUAUGCGAUGAAACAACAACGUCAAAACGGUAGCAACCACCGCUACAUUCACUUGCCUUCAUCGAAGAAGAAAAACAUACUAGGCAUGAUUCAGAGUGUAGACACCUGCUGUGGGGCUUAAAACUUAGUACAAAUAUUCCACAAACAUUUGCCAACAAUUAACAAAUCGCUCCUACACUUGAAACCAAGACCCGGUGGAAUGACUCCCACCCUGAACCACAUGCCAAACAAUAGUAGUGUUGUUUGUUAAUUUUGUAUCUUUAAAAUUAUAACAGUGGUGAUAUCAAACAAAUACUCCAGAAGUUUCUACACAAAAUACUCUACAACUUUGGUAUUCAAUGGAUAAUUAAAUUUUGCCAUCUAUAAGUUCUAAAACAUCUGAUAAGAUAACUGACUGAAUUUGUUUCAGACAACAGCAUAGUUAACUUCAAAAUUCGAUAUCUCCCAAACUCCUCAACCAAAAAUUAUGAAAUUAUUCUGACAGUAAGAACUUUUUUCCCUCUACAAAAGUAUCUAUAGUUGGAAGAGCCAAUUCGGCCAUUUACUAGAUGAAACCUACCAGUUAACAGACCCGCUCAUUUUUGUCAGGCAAACAAGAACCCUUAUAUAUCAAAGAGUAGUGGAUUUGAAUUUGUCUAAUAUGAAGUUUAUGGGCUUGGAUCAUUUAAAGUAUUUUAUAAUUCUGAAAGACAAGAUUAAACUAACUAUGUAUGAUCCUUUAGCACUGUACAGAUGGUCGAUGGGACAGUUACAUGGUUUAUAUAGAUGGACCUAUCUAUAUUCCUUCAGUGGUUGAGAAAAAGGUAAAGGUGUGUCACACUCACGUGUGCGCCGCCUCUACCGAGAUGAGGCAUGGCGUUGCAAGGUGAGGCAUGGCAUGGUGCAGCACGAUCGUAUACAUGGUCGUGGCACAGUGUAGCACUGUUGUGGAUAGAUAGAUAAACUUUUGUUGUAGUUAGAGUGCAUGAGUUUUUGAAUGCAACACAAGAAUUUUCACAAUUUAACUUAAUUAAGAAGUUAUAUCUUGAUGACACAGAGUUACCUGACCAUUGAUCUCACAUGCCCUUUUAGCUCUCUCGUUCUCUAGACUCACCCUGACUAUUUAGGUCUCCUGACUCGCCAAUAUAAACACCAUCCUAUCAUUUGCUCUCGAAUACUUCUGUGUCACAACUCAACUGUCAGAUGAGUACUCCAUUACAGCACUGAGCAGGCCUCCGAAAUGAAUAUCUACUCAGAUGAAGGACGACAAUCGUGUUCUAGGGAAAUAUCGGUGACACAACUCCUUACUUCCUCCGCUUCUUCCUAGUGUUUUUUGUUGUGAUUGAGUCGACACAGCAACAACACUGCACUAUUACAACCAGUACGACUAUAUUAACUAGCAAUGUCUUCCUUAUAUGUUACUAUUUAUUUUGCUCAUAUUCAUUAUGUUUAAAUCACAUAGGCACCUUUUUGUUGGCAUCAAAAAAUUAGUAUCAACUUUCUAGAUUAAAGUGAAACUAAAAGUACCUAAAUUUCUAUCGGUGGGGAUCGAGUGAUUCUUUAAACCAAUUAUUACGCAAGUUAACCACACUAAAAUUAACAUUGGUGAACCGUGCCAUGAUUUUUUCUAAUGGAAAAUAGCCAAACCAAGCAACACAUAUGUGGCUAUCGUUACACAUGUGUAAAGGUAUUGCAUCACACCAUUGUCACCCAUGUAUUUGGACAAUACCGAGAGGAAAAACCACUUAUUUAUUGUAUUUUAUCAAGUUUGUCUUGCUUACGUAUAAAUUAUAACCCAACAAAGUAAUCACUAAAUGUCAAAACCAACUAGAUACCAUGUCAUCUCUACCUUAUCUUACUAAUAUUCUUUUUGCAAAAUCCAAAAUUAAUCUUGCACAAGCACAAGGACUGAGAUGUGUAUAAAUAUCUCUUAAAUUAGUAGCUAAUAUAUCACACAUAUUAUUGAGACCAACUAGCAACAUAGAAAGCACAAUAGUGUACCAACAAUGGCAGCUAAAAUAUUUUGCCUCCUUAUGCUCCUUGGUCUUUCUGCAAGUGCUGCUACGGCGACCAUUUUCCCACAAUGCUCACAAGCUCCUAUAGCUUCCCUUCUUCCCCCGUACCUCUCACCAACGGUGUCUUCGGUAUGUGAAAACCCAAUUCUUCAACCCUACAGGAUCCAACAGGCAAUCGCAGCUGGCAUCUUACCUUUAUCACCCUUGUUCCUCCAACAAUCAUCAGCCCUAUUACAGCAGUUACCUUUGGUGCAUUUAUUGGCACAAAACAUCAGGGCACAACAACUACAACAACUUGUGCUAGCAAACCUUGCUGCCUACUCUCAGCAACAGCAGUUUCUUCCAUUCAACCAACUAGCUGCAUUGAACUCUGCUUCUUAUUUGCAACAACAACAACUACCAUUCAGCCAGCUAUCUGCUGCCUACCCCCAGCAAUUUCUUCCAUUCAACCAACUGACAGCAUUGAACUCUCCUGCUUAUUUACAGCAGCAACAACUACUACCAUUCAGCCAGCUAGCUGGUGUGAGCCCUGCUACCUUCUUGACACAACCACAGUUGUUGCCGUUCUACCAGCACGCUGCGCCUAACGCUGGCACCCUCUUACAACUGCAACAAUUGCUGCCAUUCAACCAACUUGCUUUGACAAACCCAGCAGCAUUCUACCAACAACCCAUCAUUGGUGGUGCCCUCUUUUAGAUUUCUUAUGAGUUAUAGUUCAAUAAUAAAGUUUUUUGUCUGAUGUUUGUGGCUUCCCAGAAAUAAGAAAGUACAUUUCUAGAUUCUUAUGUGCUUCUAGUCUCCAAAUGUGGUUGAUAGUUAUUUUGCUCUAAGAUCAACAGUAAUGAAGUAUAAAUCAUCGUUGUGGUGUGCUACUCGGUUAAUUGAGCAUUAACACACACAAACAUGACGAGGAUGGUAUAAUCUCCAAAAAUGUGUACUUUGUUAGGUGGGACCCUAUAGCCUUGAUUAAUGUGCUAUGUUAGGCAUGCCUGGAAACGUGUGACGCAUAUGUUUUGUGAACCUGUUGAUAUUAUAUGUGCUUUUAUAUUACCAUAUUUUAUUAAAAUACUAAUAUUUAUUACUAGUAAGAUAUAACAUUCUAUCUAGCUUAAAAACUAACCAUAAAUAUUCCAUAAUAACUAGAUUUACCAAACUAAUAUACUAAAUAUACAUAAUAAAUACAAAAUUAACAAGACAAUAAUCAAUAUUUAUGAGCUUAAUAUAUUUAGACAUUAUGGUUGGUCGACGAUAAUCAUGCUAACUUUUCGUAAUUGCUUGAUUGUAAAUAUGCUUAGAAUAAUGCCUCUUUGUUCUACAUGGCAAAUAGGGACCAUUAUGGUGUAACACCCUGGGAACCACAAACACCCCGAAAUGCUACUAAACUACACAACUAACCUUCAUAUAUAAAAUUUCGACAGCAUCUCCUUUGAAAAUUUGCAUAGACGUGGAAGCAACAGAGUAUAAACAGAUAUCAUGAUAAGAAAACAUACUAGACAUUAAUAAUCUGCUAGAAAUGGGAAGAUAACCAUAACGACAUAAACUGAAUUAACUAGUGUGCACAACUUGUUAAAAACAAACAUCGUUGACAAGAAGUUUCUAAUUAAAUCAUGGUUGUGCCUGGGCAGCGUUAUUAUGAGAGUGAAGGUGGACGUGAUGCUACUUCCCUCAUUCCCAACAUGAAUCAAGUACCUGCAUUGAGCAAUGCAAGAGUGAGAUGAAAACAUCUCAGCAAGUAAAUUGUUUUGACGAGAUAUUUAAACCAAAAAAAUUUGAUUUACUCAACAUUUUAAAGGGAUCACAAUUGAGAUCAGAAAUACUUGUAGAUAUAGAACUCAAUAGUCCCAAAAUAACCAGUGCCAUCUCAUUUCCUCAAACAACCACAAUAGGUUGUAUAACACUUCCCUGCGUCAUCAAUACCUGCAAAUAUCACUUCAAUGUAUGCAUAGGAAUGCAAUGUUUAAGUCCUCUGCAUUCAUACUUCUUAGAGUAUAAAACCACACCAUCUGCAAAUAUCACUUCAAUGAAUGCAUAUGAAUGCAAUGCAUAUGUCCUCUGCCUUCAUACCUCUAAGGGUAUGAAGCCGAAUCGUACCCCUCCUCGGGCAACGUACGAUGCUAAGUUGUACCGGUACGGUCGGACCAUAGGUCACGACAAAACUUCAUAUGCAAGUGAAUCAUGACAUGUAUAUGGCUUGCUGCAUUUAUCAAUAUACUUCACUUCCUUCAUAUACAAUACAAACCUCAAAUAAUACUUCGUUUACCUUCAGAUACAAUACAAACCUCAAAUAAUACUUCAUUCACCUUCAGGGGUGUUUAUUAAUCUCGUGGGUCAUACUCGAAUCAUCAUCAUCAUCAAUGAUGAUUAAGCAUCAGUAUAAUACAAUCAAGUAAAGCAUCACCAUAGAGUUCAAUUAUGAAAGAAUUCGAUGAUUCUGAAUAUUAGAGUGUAUGCGAUGAAACAACAACGUCAAAACGGUAGCAACCACCGCUACAUUCAUUUGCCUUCAUCGAAGAAGAAAAAUGUACUAGGCAUGAUUCAGAGUGUAGACACCUGCUGUGGGGCUUAAAACUUAGUACAAAUAUUCCACAAACAUUUGCCAACAAUUAACAAAUCGCUCCUACACUUGAAACCAAGACCCGGUGGAAUGACUCCCACCCUGAACCACAUGCCAAACAAUAGUAGUGCUGUUUGUUAAUUUUGUAUCUUUAAAAUUAUAACAGUGGUGAUAUCAAACAAAUACUCUAGAAGUUUCUACACAAAAUACUCUACAACUUCGGUAUUCAAUGGAUAAUUAAAUUUUGCCAUCUAUAAGUUCUAAAACAUCUGAUAAGAUAACUGACUGAAUUUGUUUCAGACAGCAGCAUAGUUAACUUCAAAAUUCGAUAUCUCCCAAACUCCUCAACCAAAAAUUAUGAAAUUAUGCUGACAGUAAGAACUUUUUGUCCCUCUACAAAAGUAUCUAUAGUUGGAAGAGCCAAUUCGGCCAUUUACUAGAUGAAACCUACCAGUUAACAGACCCGCUCAUUUUUGUCAGGCAAACAAGAACCCUUAUAUAUCAAAGAGUAGUGGAUUUGAAUUUGUCUAAUAUGAAGUUUAUGGGCUUGGAUCAUUUAAAGUAUUUUAUAAUUCUGAAAGACAAGAUUAAACUAACUAUGUAUGAUCCUUUAGCACCGUACAGAUGGUCGAUGGGACAGUUACAUGGUUUAUAUAGAUGGACCUAUCUAUAUUCCUUCAGUGGUUGAGAAAAAGGUAAAGGUGUGUCACACUCACGUGUGCGCCGCCUCUGCCGAGAUGAGGCAUGGCGUUGCAAGGUGAGGCAUGGCAUGGUGCAGCACGAUCGCAGUCAUGGUCGUGGCACAGUGUAGCACUGUUGUGGAUAGAUAGAUAAACUAUUGUUGUAGUUAGAGUGCAUGAGUUUUUGAAUGCAACACUAGGAUUUUCACAAUUUAACUUAAUUAAGAAGUUAUAUCUUGAUGACACAGAGUUACCUGACCAUUGAUCUCACAUGCCCUUUUAGCUCUCUUGUUCUCUAGACUCACCCUGACUAUUGAGGUCUCUUGACUCGCCAAUAUAAACACCAUCCUAUCAUUUGCUCUCGAAUACUUUUGUGUCACAACUCAACUGUCAGAUGAGUACUCCAUUACAGCACUGAGCAGGCCUCCGAAAUGAAUAUCUACUCAGAUGAAGGACGACAAUCGUGUUCUAGGGAAAUAUCAGUGACACAACUCCUUACUUCCUCUGCUUCUUCCUAGUGUUUUUUGUUGUGAUUGAGUCGACACAGCAACAACACUGCACUAUUACAACCAGUACGACUAUAUUAACUAGCAAUGUCUUCCUUAUAUGUUACUAUUUAUUUUGCUCAUAUUCAUUAUGUUUAAAUCACAUAGGCACCUUUUUGUUGGCAUCAAAAAAUUAGUAUCAACUUUCUAGAUUAAAGUGAAACUAAAAGUACCUAAAUUUCUAUCGGUGGGGAUCGAGUGAUUCUUUAAACCGAUUAUUACACAAGUGAACCACACUAAAAUUAACAUUGGUGAAUCGUGCCAUGAUUUUUUCUAGUGGAAAAUAGCCAAACCAAGCAACACAUAUGUGGCUAUCGUUACACAUGUGUAAAGGUAUUGCAUCACACCAUUGUCACCCAUGUAUUUGGACAAUACCGAGAGGAAAAACCACUUAUUUAUUGUAUUUUAUCAAGUUUGUCUUGCUUACGUAUAAAUUAUAACCCAACAAAGUAAUCACUAAAUGUCAAAACCAACUAGAUACCAUGUCAUCUCUACCUUAUCUUACUAAUAUUCUUUUUGCAAAAUCCAAAAUUAAUCUUGCACAAGCACAAGGACUGAGAUGUGUAUAAAUAUCUCUUAAAUUAGUAGCUAAUAUAUCACACAUAUUAUUGAGACCAACUAGCAACAUAGAAAGCACAAUAGUGUACCAACAAUGGCAGCCAAAAUAUUUUGCCUCCUUAUGCUCCUUGGUCUUUCUGCAAGUGCUGCUACGGCGACCAUUUUCCCACAAUGCUCACAAGCUCCUAUAGCUUCCCUUCUUCCCCCGUACCUCUCACCAGCGGUGUCUUCGGUAUGUGAAAACCCAAUUCUUCAACCCUAUAGGAUCCAACAGGCAAUCGCAGCUGGCAUCUUACCUUUAUCACCCUUGUUCCUCCAACAAUCAUCAGCCCUAUUACAGCAGUUACCUUUGGUGCAUUUAUUGGCACAAAACAUCAGGGCACAACAACUACAACAACUUGUGCUAGCAAACCUUGCUGCCUACUCUCAGCAACAACAGUUUCUUCCAUUCAACCAACUAGCUGCAUUGAACUCUGCUUCUUAUUUGCAACAACAACAACUACCAUUCAGCCAGCUAUCUGCUGCCUACCCCCAGCAAUUUCUUCCAUUCAACCAACUGACAGCUUUGAACUCUCCUGCUUAUUUACAGCAGCAACAACUACUACCAUUCAGCCAGCUAGCUGGUGUGAGCCCUGCUACCUUCUUGACACAACCACAAUUGUUGCCGUUCUACCAGCACGCUGCGCCUAACGCUGGCACCCUCUUACAACUGCAACAAUUGCUGCCAUUCAACCAACUUGCUUUGACAAACCCAACAGCAUUCUACCAACAACCCAUCAUUGGUGGUGCCCUCUUUUAGAUUUCUUAUGAGUUAUAGUUCAAUAAUAAAGUUUUUUGUCUGAUGUUUGUGGCUUCCCAGAAAUAAGAAAGUACAUUUCUAGAUUCUUAUGUGCUUCUAGUCUCCAAAUGUGGUUGAUAGUUAUUUUGCUCUAAGAUUAGCAGUAAUGAAGUAUAAAUCAUCGUUGUGGUGUGCUACUCGGUUAAUUGAGCAUUAACACACACAAACAUGACGAGGAUGGUAUAAUCUCCAAAAAUGUGUACUUUGUUAGGUGGGACCCUAUAGCCUUGCAGAAUGUGCUACGUUAGGCAUGCCAAUGGAAACGUGUGACACAUACGUUUUGUGAAUCUGUUGAUAUUAUAUGUGCUUUUAUAUUACCAUAUUUUAUUAAAAUACUAAUAUUUAUUACUAGUAAGAUAUAACAUUCUAUCUAGCUUAAAAACUAACCAUAAAUAUUCCAUAAUAACUAGAUUUACCAAACUAAUAUACUAAAUAUACAUAAUAAAUAUAAAAUUAACAAGACAAUAAUUAAUAUUUAUGAGCUUAAUUUAUUUAGACAUUAUGGUUGGUCGACGAUAAUCAUGCUAACUUUCCGUAAUUGCUUGAUUGUAAAUAUGCUUAGAAUAAUGCCUCUUUGUUCUACAUGGCAAAUAGGGACCAUUAUGGUGUAACACCCCGGGAUCCACAAACACCCCGAAAUGCUACUAAACUACACAACUAACCUUCAUAUAUAAAAUUUCGACAGCAUCUCCUUUGAAAAUUUGCAUAAACGUGGAAGCAACAGAGUAUAAACAGAUAUCAUGAUAAGGAAACAUACUAGACAUUAAUAAUCUGCUAGAAAUGGGAAGAUAACCAUAACGACAUAAACUGAAUUAACUAGUGUGCACAACUUGUUAAAAACAAACAUCGUUGACAAGAAGUUUCUAAUUAAAUCAUGGUUGUGCCUGGGCAGCGUUAUUAUGAGAGUGAAGGUGGACGUGAUGCUACUUCCCUCAUUCCCAACAUGAAUCAAGUACCUGCAUUGAGUAAUGCAAGAGUGAGAUGAAAACAUCUCAGCAAGUAAAUUGUUUUGACGAGAUAUUUAAACCAAAAAAAUUGAUUUAAUCAACAUUUUAAAGGGAUCACAAUUGAGAUCAGAAAUACUUGUAGAUAUAGAACUCAAUAGUCCCAAAAUAACCAAUGCCAUCUCAUUUCCUCAAACAACCACAAUAGGUUGUAUAACACUUCCCUGCGUCAUCAAUACCUGCAAAUAUCACUUCAAUGUAUGCAUAGGAAUGCAAUGUUUAAGUCCUCUGCAUUCAUACUUCUUAGAGUAUAAAACCACACCAUCUGCAAAUAUCACUUCAAUGAAUGCAUAUGAAUGCAAUGCAUAUGUCCUCUGCCUUCAUACCUCUAAGGGUAUGAAGCCGCAUCGUACCCCUCCUCGGGCAACGUACGAUGCUAAGUUGUACCGGUACGGUCGGACCAUAGGUCACGACAAAACUUCAGAUGCAAGUGAAUCAUGACAUGUAUAUGGCAUGCUGCAUUUAUCAAUAUACUUCACUUCCUUCAUAUACAAUACAAACCUAAAAUAAUACUUCGUUUACCUUCAGAUACAAUACAAACCUCAAAUAAUACUUCAUUCACCUUCAGGGGUGUUUAUUAAUCUCGUGGGUCAUACUCAAAUCAUCAUCAUCAUCAAUGAUGUUUAAGCAUCAGUAUAAUACAAUCAAGUAAAGCAUCACCAUAGAGUUCAAUUAUGAAAGAAUUCGAUGAUUCUGAAUAUUAGAGUGUAUGCGAUGAAACAACAAAGUCAAAACGGUAGCAACCACCUCUACAUUCACUUGCCUUCAUCGAAGAAGAAAAAGGUACUAGGCAUGAUUCGGAGUGUAGACACCUGCUGUGGGGCUUAAAACUUAGUACAAAUAUUCCAUAAACAUUUGCCAACAAUUAACAAAUCGCUCCUACACUUGAAACCAAGACCCGGUGGAAUGACUCCCACCCUGAACCACAUGCCAAACAACAAUAGUGUUGUUUGUUAAUUUCUAUCUUUAAAAUUAUAACAGUGGUGAUAUCAAACAAAUACUCUAUACGUUUCUACACAAAAUACUCUACAACUUCGGUAUUCAAUGGAUAAUUAAAUUUUGCCAUCUAUAAGUUCUAAAACAUCUGACAAGAUAACUGACUGAAUCUGUUUCAGACAACAGCAUAGUUAACUUCAAAAUUCGAUAUCUCCCUAACUCCUCAACAAAAAAUUAUGAAAUUAUGCUGACAGUAAGAACUUUUAUCCCUCUACAAAAGUCUCCAUAGUUGAAAGAGCCAAUUCGGCCAUUUACUAGAUGAAACCUACCAGUUAACGGACCCGCUCAUUUUUGUCAAGCAAACAAGAACCCUUAUAUAUCAAAGAGUAGUGGAUUUGAAUUUGUCUAAUAUGAAGUUUACGGGCUUGGCUCAUUUAAAGUAUUUAAUAAUUCUGAAAGACAAGAUUAAACUAACUAUGUAUGAUCCUUUAGCACCGUACAGAUGGUCGAUGGGACAGUUACAUGGUUUAUAUAGAUGGACCUAUCUAUAUUCCUUCAGUGGUUGAGAAAAAAGUAAAGGUGUGUCACACUCACGUGUGCGCCGCCUCCGCCGAGACGAGGCAUGGCGUUGCAAGGUGAGGCAUGGCAUGGUGUAGCACGAUAGCAGUCAUGGUCGUGGCACAGUGUAGCACUGUUGUGGAUAGAUAGGUAAACUAUUGUUGUAGUUAGAGUGCAUGAGUUUUUGAAUGCAACACUAGAAUUUUCACAAUUUAACUUAAUUAAGAAGUUAUAUCUUGAUGACACAGAGUUACCUGACCAUUGAUCUCACAUGCCCUUUUAGCUCUCUCGUUCUCUAGACUCACCCUGACUAUUUAAGUCUCUUGACUCGCCAAUAUAAACACCAUCCUAUCAUUUGCUCUAGAAUACUUCUGUGUCACAACUCAACUGUCAGAUGAGUACUCCAUUACAGCACUUACGUACACGAGUUCUAUGAGAGCAGGCCUCCAAAAUGAAUAUCUACUUAGAUGAAGGACGACAAUCGUGUUCUAGGGAAAUAUCAGCGACACAACUCCUUACUUCCUUCGCUUCUUCCUAGUGUUUUUUGUUGUGAUUGAGUCGACACAGCAACAACACUGCACUAUUACAACCAGUACGACUAUAUCAACUAGCAAUGUCUUCCUUAUAUGUUACUAUUUAUUUUGCACAUAUUCAUUAUGUUUAAAUCACAUAGGCACCUUUCUAUUGGCAUCAAAAAAUUAGUAUCAACUUUCUAGAUUAAAAUGAAACUAAAAGUACAUAAAUUUCUAUCGGUGGGGAUCGAGUGAUUCUUUAAACCGAUUAUUACACAAGUUAACCACACUAAAAUUAACAUUGGUGAAUCGUGCCAUGAUUUUUUUUCUAGUGGAAAAUAGCCAAACCAAGCAACACAUAUGUGGCUAUCGUUACACAUGUGUAAAGGUAUUGCAUCACACUAUUGUCACCCAUGUAUUUGGACAAUACCGAGAGGAAAAACCACUUAUUUAUUGUAUUUUAUCAAGUUUGUCUUGCUUACGUAUAAAAUUAUAACCCAACAAAGUAAUCACUAAACGUCAAAACCAACUAGAUAUCAUGUCAUCUCUACCUUAUCUUACUAAUAUUCUUUUUGCAAAAUCCAAAAUUAAUCUUGCACAAGCACAAGGACUGAGAUGUGUAUAAAUAUCUCUUAAAUUAGUAGCUAAUAUAUCGCACAUAUUAUUUAGACCAACUAGCAACAUAGAAAGCACAAUAGUGUACCAACAAUGGCAGCCAAAAUAUUUUGCCUCCUUAUGCUCCUUGGUAUUUCUGCAAGUGCUGCUACGGCGACCAUUUUCCCGCAAUGCUCACAAGCUCCUAUAGCUUCCCUUCUUCCCCCGUACCUCUCACCAGCGGUGUCUUCGGUAUGUGAAAACCCAAUUCUUCAACCCUACAGGAUCCAACAGGCAAUCGCAGCUGGCAUCUUACCUUUAUCACCCUUGUUCCUCCAACAAUCAUCAGCCCUAUUACAGCAGUUACCUUUGGUGCAUUUAUUGGCACAAAACAUCAGGGCACAACAACUACAACAACUUGUGCUAGCAAACCUUGCUGCCUACUCUCAGCAACAGCAGUUUCUUCCAUUCAACCAACUAGCUGCAUUGAACUCUGCUUCUUAUUUGCAACAACAACAACUACCAUUCAGCCAGCUACCUGUUGCCUACCCCCAGCAAUUUCUUCCAUUCAACCAACUGGCAGCAUUGAACUCUCCUGCUUAUUUACAGCAGCAACAACUACUACCAUUCAGCCAGCUAGCUGGUGUGAGCCCUGCUACCUUCUUGACACAACCACAGUUGUUGCCGUUCUACCAGCACGCUGCGCCUAACGCUGGCACCCUCUUACAACUGCAACAAUUGCUGCCAUUCAACCAACUUGCUUUGACAAACCUAGCAGUGUUCUACCAACAACCCAUCAUUGGUGGUGCCCUCUUUUAGAUUUCUUAUGAGUUAUAGUUCAAUAAUAAAGUUUUUUGUCUGAUGUUUGUGGCUUCCCAGAAAUAAGAAAGUACAUUUCUAGAUUCUUAUGUGCUUCUAGUCUCCAAAUGUGGUUGAUAGUUAUUUUGCUCUAAGAUCAGCAGUACAACAACAACAACAACAACAACAACAACAACAACAAAGCCUUUUUGUCCCAAGCACGUUGGGGUAGGCUAGAGAUGAAACCCCGUAUGAAAACCUCAGAGCUCAACCCCCAAAGAACAGAAAAGGGAAACAAAGGCAAAGGAGAACCGAAAACAACGAAACGGGGAAACACAUAAAAGAGAUAAAACCCACAAGGACCAGCAAGAUCUAAAAUGGACACAAGAAAAGGUCAAACGAUUAAGGAGGAAAAGCGAAACUAUCAAUCAGGGUUCUGGCACGUGAAUUGCACACUUCCACCCCUUCCUAUCUGCGGCGAGCUCUUUGUCAAUAUUCCACUCCUUCAGGUCUCUCUUCACAGCCUCUGUCCACGUCAAAGUUGGUCGACCUCUACCUCUCUUCACAUUUUCGGGACGCCUAAUUAUUCCGAUAUGCACUGGUGCCUCUUCAGGUCUUCGUUGGAUAUGUCCAAACCAUCUCAAGCGAUGUUGCAUAAGCUUCUCCUCAAUUGGCGCCACUCCUACUCUCUCUCGUAUAUCAUCAUUCCGGACUCGAUCUCUCCUUGUGUGGCCACAUAUCCAGCGCAACAUACGCAUCUCUGCCACACUUAGUUGUUGGACAUGUCGUCUUUUAGUGGGCCAACAUUCUGCUCCAUACAACAUAGCCGGCCGGAUUGCUGUCCUGUAGAAUUUGCCUUUUAGUUUGCGUGGCACCCGGUGGUCGCAUAAGACACCCGCAGCUUGUCGCCACUUCAACCAUCCGGCUUUAAUUCUAUGACUGACAUCCUCAUCGAUGUCUCCCUCCUUUUGAAGCAUUGAUCCUAAGUAACGAAAAGUGUCUUUCUUGGGUACCACUUGCCCAUCAAGACUAACAUCGCCAUCCUCAUACCCCAUGGCACUGAAAUCACACUUCAUAUACUCUGUUUUAGACCUACUAAGCCUAAAACCUUUUGCUUCCAGCGUCUGCCUCCACAAUUCCAACUUUUGAGAAACACCACUCCUACUCUCCUCAAUAAGUACCACAUCAUCGGCAAAAAGCAUACACCACGGUAAAACUCCUUGUAUGUCCCUUGUGACCUCAUCUAUCACCAAAGCGAAAAGAUAAGGGCUCAAAGCCGACCCUUGAUGUAGUCCUAUGUUAAUUGGAAAGUCAUCGGUGUCUCCAUCACUUGUUCGGACACUUGUCACAACAUUAGUGUACAUAUCUUUAAUAAGAUUAAUGUACUUUGUUGCUACUUUGUGUUUUUCCAAGGCCCACCACAUUACACUCCUAGGUACUUUGUCAUAAGCCUUCUCCAAGUCUAUGAAGACCAUAUGCAGGUCUUUCUUUUGUUCUCUGAAUCUCUCCAUAAGUUGUCUUAGUAAGAAAAUGGCCUCCAUAGUUGAUCUCCCGGGCAUGAAACCAAACUGAUUUUGGGUCACGCUCGUCAUCUUUCGCAGGCGGUGUUCAAUGACUCUCUCCCAUAGCUUCAUUGUAUGGCUCAUGAGCUUAAUUCCACGGUAAUUAGUACAACUUUGAACAUCUCCUUUGUUCUUGAAGAUUGGUACUAAUGUACUCCGCCGCCACUCGUCGGGCAUUCUGUUUGCCCGAAAGAUGGUGUUGAAAAGCUUAGUCAGCCAUACUAUCGCUAUGUCUCCAAGACAUCUCCAUACCUCGAUAGGGAUACCAUCAGGGCCCAUCGCCUUUCCUACCUUCAUCCUUUUUAGCGCCUCCUUAACUUCAUAUUCUUGUAUCCUUCGUACAAAACCCCUGUUGUUGUCAUCGAAUGGUUCGUCCAAUUCUAUUGUAGCACUCUCAUUCCCUCCAUUGAACAAUUUGUUGAAGUACUCCUUCCAUCUGUUCUUGAUCUCUUCACUCUUCACUAAUAGUUGGUUUGCUUCGUCCUUGAUGCAUUUGACUUGGUUGACAUCCCUUGUCUUCCUUUCACGAAUCUUGGCCAUCCUAUAGAUAUCCUUUUCUCCCUGCUUUGUGUCCAGCCGUUGAUAAAGGUCGUCAUAGGCUUGACCCCGGGCUCUACUAACCGCUCGCUUUGCAGACUUCUUCGCUAUCCUGUACUUCUCUAUGUUUUCUGCACACUUGUCAUGAUGUAAGCGUUUGUAGCAAUCUUUCUUCUCCUUGAUAGCCUUUUGGACAUCUUCGUUCCACCACCAAGUGUCUUUAACUUCCCUUCUGUUCCCUUGACUCAACCCAAACUCUUCUGAAGCUAUCUUUCGGAUGCAUGUCGCCAUCUUCCUCCACAUGAUAUUUGCGUCUUCCUCUCCUGCCCAAGGGCCCUCCUCGAUAACUCUCUUCUUGAAAGUUUGGGCCACAUCCCCUUUAAGCUUCCACCACUUUGUUCUAGUGACCUUGUUAUGCUUAUUUCGUUGUAAACGAAUCUUAAAACGGAAGUCAGCAACGACAAGCUUAUGUUGGGUUACCACACACUCUCCAGGUAUAACCUUGCAAUCUAAGCAGGCAUGCCUGUCCUCUUUUCUCAAGAGGACGAAAUCAAUCUGGCUAGUGUGUUGGCCACUACUGAAGGUCACCAGGUGGGAUUGCCUCUUCUUAAAGAAAGUGUUUGCUAUAAACAUGUCAUAGGCUAGGGCAAAGUUCAGGAUUUCCUCUCCUUCUUGAUUCCUAGUCCCAAAGCCGAAGCCUCCAUGUACACCCUCGAAACUGGUGCUAGAUGUACCCACAUGGCCAUUGAGAUCUCCUCCUAUGAAGAGCUUCUCGCCAACUGGCACACUACUAACCAUGUCCUCUAGGCCUUCCCAGAACUCUCUCUUUGAGUUCUCAUUAAGGCCUACUUGAGGAGCAUACGCGCUGAUAACAUUGAGAACCAAGUCUCCAAUGACCAGCUUGACUAGGAUGAUUCUAUCUCCUACCCUCUUAACAUCUACUACCCCAUCUUUGAGGCUCUUGUCGAUCAAGACGCCUACUCCAUUCUUGUUUGUUGCAGUCCCCGUGUACCACAACUUGAAACCUGUACCUUUCACUUCCUUCGCCUUCUGUCCCUUCCACUUGGUCUCUUGAACGCAUAAAAUAUUUACCCGUCUCCUCACCGCAACGUCAACUAUUUCUCGUAACUUACCUGUUAAGGAACCUACGUUCCAACUGCCUACACGGACCCUAGUUGGCUCGACUAGCUUCCUUACCCUUCGCACCCGCCGAGGAAGAUGCAAAGACCCUUGCUCAUUUUUCACUACACCCGGGCGCCGAUGUAGCGCGCCACUAAGGAUGCGACGACCCGAUCCUUGCUCACUUAUCACCGGCUCCAGAUCAAGAGACAGCGCGUCACUUGAGGGGUGACGACCCGGCCCUUGCUCAUUUAACACCAUACCCGGGUUCCGAUAUGGCGCGUCGCUAAGAGGGUUACGCCCCAACGGUUUUCUUUGUGGUUUCAUCUCCAUAAGAUUUGGCUGGUUUUUUACGUUGGUUUGCCGGACCUAACACAACCCUCCUCCUUUACCGGGCUUGGGACCGGCUAUGUUGAAACGACUCAAGGAAGUCUUCCAAUCAACAUAGGCGGAGUUUAAGAUCAGCAGUAAUGAAGUAUAAAUCAUCGUUGUGGUGUGCUACUCGGUUAAUUGAGCAUUAACACACACAAACAUGACGAGGAUGGUAUAAUCUCCCAAAAUGUGUACUUUGUUAGGUGGGACCCUAUAGCCUUGCAGAAUGUGCUACGUUAGGCAUGCCGAUGGAAACGUGUGACGCAUACGUUUUGUGAACCUGUUGAUAUUAUAUGUGCUUUUAUAUUACCAUAUUUUAUUAAAACACUAAUAUUUAUUACUAGUAAGAUAUAACAUUCUAUCUAGCUUAAAAACUAACCAUAAAUAUUCCAUAAUAACUAGAUUUACCAAACUAAUAUACUAAAUAUACAUAAUAAAUACAAAAUUAACAAGACAAUAAUCAAUAUUUAUGAGCUUAAUAUAUUUAGACAUUAUGGUUGGUCGACGAUAAUCAUGCUAACUUUCCGUAAUUGCUUGAUUGUAAAUAUGCUUAGACUAAUGCCUCUUUGUUCUACAUGGCAAAUAGGGACCACUCUAGGAGACUAGGAUGUUGCUUGAGAUGAAAAUGUCAGAAUUGGUGUAGACUAAUUUCUAUCGGCCGCUGACUUCACUAUUGUAACCAUUAUAUCUUGGGUAAAUUAUAUACGAUUAUCCAGCCAAAGGGCCCAGAUGAUAAAAAACAAUUUUUAAUUGCUAUUUUAGGACAAAUGAAUUAGCAUGGUUCGAAGGAUUACGACCUUCCCCCCAUGACCUUUGUCAUACUGCUUUAGUCUAAUCGACAAAACCAAGAUUAGUUAUCAUCGAAGAAGUUCAUAAGCGAAGUUGUGACGAUGAAAGGAACAUGGUGGUAAUUGGACGAACGACGACACCUUUGUCUAAGAAUGGCAUCUAGAAGAAAUCUCAGACAAAAUAAGACAUGAAUGGCUUGUCAGUACAGCGCAAAUACUGAAACAUGCGCCCUUGAAUAUGAAACAUUUAUAUGUAAGAGGAAGGGAUAAAAAAACUAAUUACUCGUGCCUAAUGAUUUUAUUGGGAAUUUUAAGGCGAGACUUAUGGCAAAGGGUUAUACCAAAAAUAGGGGAGAGAUUAUUUCGAUACUUAUUCACUUGUUUCCCUUCAAAUGGCCAUACAUGUGUUACUUUUUUUGGCUGCCUCGCAUGGUCUUAUCGUUCAUCAGAUGAAUGUUAAGACUGCUUUCCCAAAUGGAGAGCUUAAGGAACAGAUCUACAUUGACUAGCCUAGUGGUUUUAUAUCAAAUGGUAAAGAGGAAAAGGUGUUUAAAAUAAUUGUUUGGUUUAAAACAAGCACCAAAGCACAUGAGAAAAUCGAUAAAGUUCUGACUUUGGCUAAAUUUGUUGUAAAUGAAGUUGAUAAAUGUGUCCAUUACCAGUUUGACAGGGGCGAAGGUAUGACCUUUUUAUAUGUGGACAAAAUAUUAACCUUUUGUAACGAUGUUAAUAUGAUAGAAGAAGUAAAGUAAUUUUUGUCUAGUAACUUAGAAAUAAACAAUCUGGGAGAGGCUAAUGUUGUUCUUAACAAAGAGAUGUUGAGAGAAGGAGGAAAUAGAGGGUUACUCUUGUGCAAUCCUAUUAGGUUGAAAAGUCGCUGAGUCGCUUUGGAUAUAGUGAUUACACGUCUGGUCCAACAACUUAUGACCCAAGUGUGUUAUUAAGGAAAAAUCAUAUAAUUGCAUAUGAUCAAUUGAGAUAUUGUCAAAUCAUGGUCUUCUCAUAUAUUUGGCAAGCCCAACGAUGUCUCAUAUCUGAUUUGUUAUGAGCAAACUCAGUUGCCUUGUCUCCAAUCUAGGGGAGGAUCAUGACAUGCCCUAGAGAGGGUAUUGCGCUUUCUCAAAGGGAUAUGAGUAAUGUCAUUUACUAUACUAGGCACCUAAGAGUACCAGAGUGUUAUAGUCAUGCAAAUAGGAUAUCUGAUGUUGAUUAGAUUUAUGCCACAAGUAGACUUGUGUGCUUCCUUGGAGGUGUGAUUGUUUCAUGGAAGUCUUGUAAGUAGACCAUCUUAACAAGGUCAACAAUAGAAGUAGAACUCACAACAUUAUAUACUACCAAAGUUGAAGUUGAUUGGCUCCGUGAACUCCUUACGGAUUUACCAGUAGUUGAAAAACCAAUACUGGUUAUCUCUAUGAGCUACAAUAAUCAAACAUUUGUAAUCGAAGUAAACAGUUCUAAAGUUAACAUGAUGUCUACAAAGCAUGUAAAAAUGGUUGAAACUGUUAAAACACUAAGAAACUCUAGAUUAAUUAUGUUGGACUAUAUCCAUACAUCGAAUUUGGUAUGCCAGUUUACAGAAGAUUUGUCACAUAAUAUGAUUCAAGGUGCAUCGAGGAAUAUGGGCUUGAGACCCACUUAAUGUCAAUCCAUAGUGGUAGCAGUUUCUAUGUGAUUGGAGAUCCCAUAAAGUAGAAUGGUGAAACAAGCUAGAGAAUGACUGAUGGAGAGACUCCUUAAAUAAAAUCUUGAUAAUUUGAGAUGCACAUUUCUCAUUUGAUGUAUUGUAGGCGAACUAAAAUCUUAAUAUGAUUUGAGUGACUUAUCUAAGCAGGGAUGUUAUCUUACAGAACAUCCUAGAAAGAACACACCUAUAUGAGUUUGCAUGUUAGUCAUAGUCUAUCAUGUGUGGUAAUCUUUAUAUACUCAUGAAAGGCUUGAAGUUUGACUUAUAUGCUUCAAACCAAGGGGGUGCUUGUAACAGUCUAGUACAAGAUAAGAACAUUGGUAAAACUCACUUAACGCAAAAUUGUCAAUUUAAGGCAUAGUUCAUUGUUUAGAUGUGAAUGUGUAAUCCCUGUUCUAGAUGGAUGGUCAACUUAACAGCCUCCACCAAAACCCUGAUAUCUCAAAGAGUAGUGGAUUUGAGUUUGUCUAAUAUGUGGUUUAGAUUUUGGUGGGGAAUUUUAAUAUUUUAUGGGCUUGGCCCAUUUAAGGUAUUUAAUACUUUCAAAAGACAAGAUUAAACAUGUGUGAAUAGUGUCAUGAUUUUUUUCUAGUGCAAAAUAGCCCAACAAAUCAACACAUAUGUGGCUAUCAUUACACAUGUGUAAAGGUAAUGCAUCACACCAUUGUCACCCAUGUAUUUAGAAAAUACCAAGAAGAAAAACAACUUGUUUAUUGUAUUUUAUGGAGAUUAUCUUGCUUACAUAUAAUUAUAACCCAACAAAGUGGUCACUAAAUGUCAAAACCAACUAGGUACCAGGUCAUCUCUAGCUUAUCUUGCUAAUGAUAUUUUUGCAAAAUCCAAAAUUAAUCUUGCACAAGCACAAGGACUGAGAUGUGUAUAAAAAUCUCUUAGAUUAGUAGGUAAUCCAUCACACAAAGCGCAAUAGUGUAGCAAAACUGGCAGUCAAAAUAUUUUGCCUCCUUAUGCUCCUUGCUCUUUCUGCAAGUGCUGCUAACGCGACCAAUUUUCUGCAAUGCUCACAAGAUCCAAUUGCUUCCCUUCUUCCCUCAUACCUCUCACCAGCGACAUCUUCAGUAUGUGAAAACCCAAUUCUUCAACCCUAUAGGAUCCAACAGGCAAUCACAGCAAGCAUCUUACCUUUAUCACCCUUGUUCCUCCAACAACCGCCAGCCCUGUUACAACAAUUACCUUUGGUGCAUUUGUUGGAACAAAGCAUCAAGGCACAACAACUACAACAACCUGUGCUGACAAACCUUGUUGCCUACUCUCAGCAACAAUAGUUUCUUCCAUUCAACCAACUGGCUGCACUGAACUCUGCUGCUUAUUUGCAACAACAACAACAACUUCCAUUCACCCAGCUAGCUGCUGCCUACCCCCAACAAUUUCUUCCAUUCGACUAACUGGCUGCAUUGAACUCUGUUGCUUAUUUACAACAGCAACAACUAAUACCAUGAAACCAGCUAGCUGUUGCGAGCCCUGCUACCUUCUUGACACAACCACAGUUGAUGUCGUUCUACCUGCAAGCUGUGGCUAACGUCGGCACCCUCUUACAACUACAACAAUUGUUGCCAUUCAUCCAACUUGCUUUGACAAACCCAAUAGUGUUCUACCAACAACCCAUCAUUGGUGGCGCCCUCUUUUAUAUUUCUUAUGGGUUAUAGUUCAAUAAUGAAGUUUUUGGCUGAUGUUUGUGGCUUCCCAGAAAUAAGAAAGUAUAUUUCUAGAUUCUUAUGUGCUACUAGUCUCCAAAUGUGGUUGAUAAUUAUGUUGCUCUAAGAACGGGAGUAAUGAGGUAUAAAUCAUUGUUGAGGUGUGAUACUCGGGUAGUUGAGCAUUAGCACGCACAAAUAUGAUGAGGACGGUAUAAUCUCCAAAAAUAUGUACUUUGUUAGGUGGGACCCUAUAGCCAUGCAGAAUGUGCUCUGUUAGACACGUCGAUGGAAACGUGUCACACAUACGUUUUGUGAACCUAUUGAUAUUGUAUGUGCUUUUAGUUGUGUGGUGCUAUAGAUAUGAGGGCUUGUUUCACGUAAUGAGCUAGGGUAGAAAAAUAAUUAUUUGCCUUGGAUUGUUAUGGAAGAACAUACCAAUUGUGACUGCCAUCUCAAUCUAGCUAACAUCUAAGUGACCUAAAAGGAGAGCAUAAGGAACUGAUCUACAAUGACUAGCCUAGUGGUUUUAUAGGAAAUGGCAAAGAGGAAAAUGUGUUUAAGUUAUUACAAUUGUAUGGUUUAAAACAAGCACCUAAGCACAUGAGAAAUUUUAUGAAGUUCUGACUUUGGCUAAAUUUGUUGUAAAUGAAGCUGAUAAAUGUGUCUAUUGCUAGUUUGAGAGGAGGGAUGGCAUGACCUGUUUUUUAUAUUUGGAUGAUAUAUUAAUCUUUUGUAAUGAUGUUAAUAUUAUCGAGGAAGUAAAAUACUCUUUGUGUGGUAACUUUGAAAUAAAUGAUUUUGGAGAGGCUAAUGUUGUUCUUAACAUAAAGAUGUUGGGAGAAGGAGGAAAUAGGGGGUAACUCUUGUGAAUCCUAUUAGGUUGAAAAGACAUUUAGUUGUUUUGGAUAUAGUAACUACACAUCUGGUCAAAUUACUUAUGACACAAGCGUGUUGUUAAGGAAAAUGAUAUAAUCGCAUAGAAUCAAAUGAGAUACUAUCAAAUCAUGGUCUUCUCGUGUAUUUGGCUAAUCCAACGAGGCCUAAUAUCUCAUUGCUAUGAUUAAACUUAGUCGAUUUGUAUACAAUGUAGGGGAUGAUCAUGGCAAGCCCUAGAGAGGGUAUUGCGCUACCUAAAAGGGACUAUGAGUAAUGUAAUUUACUAUACCAGGCACCUAAGGGUACCAGAGUGUUACAAUGAUGCAAACAAGAUAUCUGAUGGUGACGAGAUUUAUGCCACAAGUGGAUAUGUGUGCUUGCUUGGAGGUGUGAUAGUUUCAUGGAAGUCUUGUAAGUAUACCAUCUUAACAAGAUCAACAAAACAAGUAGAACUGGCAACAUAAGAUACUACCAUAGUUGAAGCUAAGUGGCUUCUUGAACUCCUUAUGGAUUUACCAGUAGUUGAAAACUAAUAGUGGUUAUCUCUAUGAUCUAUGAUAAUCAAAUAGUCGUAAUCAAAGUGAACAGUUCUAAGGAUAACAUGAAUUCUACAAAGCAUGUCAAAAAGCGAUUGAAACUAUUAGAACACUAAGAAUCUCUAGAGUAAUUGUGUUGGACUAUGUCCAUACAUCUAAGAAUUUGGUAGGUCGAUUUAGAGAAGGUUUGUCCAUAAUGUGAUAGAUGGUGCAUCGUGUAAGAUGGGCUUGAGACCCUCUUAAUGCCAUUCCUUAGUGGUAGCAUGUUCUAUGUGAUUGGAGAUCUCGUGAAGUAGAAUGGUGAAACAAGAUAGAGAAUGACUGAUGGAGAGACUCCUUAAAUAAAAUCUAGGUAAUUUGAUAUGCAUAUUUCUCCUUUGAUGUAUCGUAGGCUAACUAAAAUCUUAAUAUGAUCGGAGUGAUUUAUCUAAGCAGGGAUGUUAUCUUAUAGAACAUCCUAGAAGGAACACACCUAUAUGAGUUUGACUGCUAUUCAUAGUCUAUGAUAUUUGGGAAAUCUUUAUAUACACCUGAAAGGCCUAGAAAUGUGACUUCUAUGCUUCAAACCAAGGGGAUGCUUGUAACAAUCUAGUAUCAGAUAAGAACUUUGGUGAAACUCACUUCAUGCAAAACCGUUAAUUCAAAGCAUAGUCCAUUGUUCAGAUGUGAAUGUAUAACCCAUGUUCUAGAUGGAUGGUCAACUUAAUAGCCUCCACCAAGACCAUGAUAUAUCAAAGAGUAGUGGAUUUGAGUUUGUCCAAUAUGUGGUUUAGAUUUUGGUGGGGAAUGUUAAUAUUUUAUUGGCUUGACCCAUUUAAAGUGUUUAAUAAUUUUGAAAGACAAGAUUAAACAAACUAUGUAUGAUGCUUUAGCACCAUAUGGAUAGUUGUGACAUAUUUGUAUUCCUUGAGUGGUUGAGGAAAAGGUAAAGGCGUGUCACACUCAUGCCAGCGCCGCCUCCGCCGAGACAAGGUGUGCGUGGCGAAGUGAGGCAUGGUGUGGUGCAGCACGGUCGCAGUCAAGGUCGUGGUGCGGUGUAGCGUUGUUGUGGAUACAUAGAUUGAUAAACUGGUGUUGUGGUUAGAGCGCAAGCAUUUGUGAAAGUAACACUAGAAUUUUCACAAUUUAACAUAAUUAAGAAGUUAUAUCUUGAUGACACAAAGUUACUUGACCUAUGAUCUCACGUGCCCUUUUAACUCUCUCGUUCUCUGGUCUCACCCUGACUAUUUAGGUUUCCUAACUCGCCAAUAUAAUCACCCUCAUAUCAUUUGCUCUCAAAUCACUUCUCUGCCACUGCUCAACUAUCAGUUGAGUACUCCAUUACAACAAUUACAACACUUACGCACACGAGUUAUACGAGAGUAGGUCUCCGAAAUGAAUGACGACUAAGUGUUUAUCUACUCAGAUGAAGGACGACAAUAACAUUUUUGGGAAGUAUCAUCAGAACAACUCCUUACUUCCUUCGCUUCUUCCUAAUGUUUUUUAUUGCGAUUGAGUCAACACAACAACUAAGCUGCACUACAACAACUAGUACGACUAUAUCAACGGCAAUGUCUCUGUUAGGUUUGAGUCCUAUGAGGGCCUUAAAACUAUGUUACUAUUUAUUUUGUUCAUAUUCAUUAGGUUCAAAUCACAUGUGCACCUUUCUAUUGACAUCAAAAAAUUAGGGCCAACUUUCUAGAUUAAAAUGCAACUAAAAGUACCUAAAUUUCUAUCGGUGGGGAUCGAGUGACUCUUUAAACCGAUUAUUACACAAGUUAACCAAACUAAAAUUAACAUUGGUGAAUAGUGCCAUUAAUUUCUAGUGCAAAAUAGCCCAUCCAAGCAACACAUAUGUGGAUAUCGUUAUAUAUGUGUAAAGGUAAUGCAUCACACCAUUGUCACCCAUGUAUUUGGAAAAUACCAAGAGUCAAAACCACUUGUUUAUUGUAUUUUAUGGAGAUUGUGUUGCUUACGUAUAAAUUAUAACCCAACAAAGUGGUCACUAAAUGUCAAAACCAACUAGAUUCUAGGUCAUCUCUAGCUUAUCUUAUUAAUAUUCUUUUGGCAAAAUCUUGCACAAGUACAAGGACUAACAUGUGUAGAUAUCUCUUAAAUUAGUAGGUAAUCCAUCACAUAUAUUAUUGAGACAAACUAGCAACAUAGAAAGUGCAAUAAAGUAGCAACAAUGGCAGCCAAGAUAUGUUCCCUCCUUAUGCUCCUUGCUCUUUCUGCAAGUGGUUCUAGCGCGACCAUUUUCUUGCAAUGCUCAUAAGAUCCUAUAGCUUCCCUUCUUCCCCCAUACCUCUCACCCACAAUGGAUUCAGUAUGUGAAAACCCAAUUCUUCAACCCUACAUGAUCCAACAUGCAAUCUCAAUAACAUCUUACCUUUAUCACCCUUGUUCGUCCAACAACCGGUAGCCCUAUUACAGCAAUUAUCUUUGGUGCAUUUGUUGGCACAAAGCAUCAGGGCACAACAACUACAGC
RNAcentral lists this long non-coding RNA (25565 nucleotides) under Zea mays. RNAcentral's name for it is "long non-coding RNA (ZMAY_LNC002145)". The record is from RNAcentral. Lineage: Eukaryota; Viridiplantae; Streptophyta; Magnoliopsida; Poales; Poaceae.